This 75-nucleotide transfer RNA is filed under the name Acetobacter sp. Its description in RNAcentral is "tRNA-Thr". It matches the Rfam family "tRNA". From Rfam's summary of the family: Transfer RNA (tRNA) molecules are approximately 80 nucleotides in length. Their secondary structure includes four short double-helical elements and three loops (D, anti-codon, and T loops). Further hydrogen bonds mediate the characteristic L-shaped molecular structure. tRNAs have two regions of fundamental functional importance: the anti-codon, which is responsible for specific mRNA codon recognition, and the 3' end, to which the tRNAs corresponding amino acid is attached (by aminoacyl-tRNA synthetases). tRNAs cope with the degeneracy of the genetic code in two manners: having more than one tRNA (with a specific anti-codon) for a particular amino acid; and 'wobble' base-pairing, i.e. permitting non-standard base-pairing at the 3rd anti-codon position. The record is from RNAcentral. Lineage: Bacteria; Pseudomonadati; Pseudomonadota; Alphaproteobacteria; Acetobacterales; Acetobacteraceae.
GCUGCUGUUGCUCAGUGGUAGAGCACUCCCUUGGUAAGGGAGAGGUCGACAGUUCAAUCCUGUCCAGCAGCACCA